AGCCCCAGCGCUGGCUGCGGCGGAACCCACGGCGUACCUUCCCGCCUCCAACAAACUAUCCGGUUGCUGAGGUUGAUUUAGCAACACCCCAGGGCAUCUGGGUUGGCAGGAGCACCACAGUGACAGCCUGGCCCAGGCUCGGGUACGGGAGGCAGCCCAGUGGCCCGCAGUAGAGGGCCAGGCUGGGGACCAGGGAGCUGGGGCUGAGGAGAAUUUGUACAGCCUAGGGAGGCGCAGCACAGCAGUAUCAGCCUCUGGCAUUUGUACCACCUUUAGUCCUGCCACUUUCUCUCACUGUGGCUUCGCAACAGACUUGGGAACCAAGAAAGGCAUAGGUGAGGAAGCUGAAGCCCAGUCUGGGCUCGCGGAAGAAACUGGUGGAUCCAACUUCUGCAUAGCGCAAAUAUCUGCUUCCUGCCUCCACCCACCCAUUCCCACUUCCUGACAUGAAACACAAGUAAAAAUAAAUACGUCAUAGAAACAGCCAGUUGCCCAGUCUCUGGGGCAGGAGCGCCUGCCCUGCUGAGAGGAGGGAAGCCCAUGAUCACACCAGCAGCUGGAUCACCCAGCCACAGAUGCUCCUCGAAGCCAGGCACAGGUCCCAGGCCUCAGGGGCGUCCUGAGGAAAGAAGACGGAAAACCAAAGCCAGGUGCCAGGACCCUGGGGCCACCUCAUUAUCCCCCACUCCUCCUGGCAGCAGUCUGGUCUUAGUGGUUAUCCAUAGCGACCCCCCUUAACCCACCUGGACCCUCUUCCCCUGACCUCUCUGAAGAUGGUACAAGGGAAAAACCUGUCUUGGGCAGGCUGGGGGGGAUUCUUCUGGUGAGUCCCCAGCCCACCCUGAGUAACACAACCAGAUAACAGUCAUUUUACACCCAGGUGCACAUGAGCACAGCACACAAACACACACACACACACUCACACACACACACACACACAGCUGGGCUGAGCUCUCUUCCAGGGAGGGUCCUGGGUCCAGUCACAGUAUGAGGUCCUCUCUCUUCUGAAUAUCAUCCCAGUAGUGGCAGCAGAGAGUACCCAAACCUCCCCAAGCCCUCUGCAUUGCAGACACUGCAGCCUGCUUGGCUACCCCUCCCCAACACACUAGAUUACUAUGUCAAAUAGACCUGCAAAAGGGAAAGGUGCACACUCAGGUCCCUGAAGAGCAAAGAAGUUGGACACUGCCUGCUCAAGAAGUUCAUUGUUAUAAGACUCAGGUAUUCAUAAAAGGCCUAGGGCUAAGCUAGUAGCACAGAAAAGCCGUUAAGGGGAUCACAGCAGAAUACACAGGGCAGAAGAGAAGAGUUGGCAGCAGGGGAACGGAGUCUCAAGGUGACCAAUAGAGAGCACAACAUUCUCAAAUAGUCCUUGAGGUGCUGAUUCCUGGGAGUAGUCAGCAGAGGGCCAGAACAUCUCCCAGGGGUCCUUUUGGGGAAGGAUGACUUCACUUAGUUUUAGGGGUGAAGAGCCACUGAGCUGGGUGCACAGAAGGCCAUGGCUCAGAAGGGAAAGACUGAUCUGAGAAAUCAAAAGGAAGUGGGGGCCAGGAGCAGUGGCUCACGCCUGUAAUCCCAUCACUGGGAGGCCGAGGAGGGUGGAUCACUUGAGGUCAGGAGUUCAAGGCCAGCCUGGCCAACGUGGUGAAACCCCGUCUCUACUAAAAAAUAUACAAAUUAGCUGGGCAUGGUGGUGUGCACCUGUAAUCCCAGCUACUUGGGAGGCUGAGGCAGGAGGAUCGCUUGAAACCGGGAGUGGAGGUUGCACGGAGCCAAGAUCACACCAUUGCACUCAAGCCUGGGUGACAGAGCAAGACUCUGUCUCAAAAAAAAAAAAAAGGAAGUGGGAAGCAGAAGGUAAUAUCCAGAACACUAGUAACAAGGAAUGUAAAGCCCCCAGAAGACCUUCCCCAUGGGAUGAGGACUCAAUUUCAGAGCAAUGCCAGGUUUGAAUAGACUCACACAGAGGGCCCUUCUCUGCUGACAACUUUGGGAGUGAUGGUCCUACCCAGGCCACUUAAGUUUGGCUAAGUGUUUCAACCAAUCUGCAAAACUGUACCCCAGCACUUUGCUUCCUGCUCCUGAAUUGAGAAAUUUCAUAUUUAGUUGUGAAUCACAAGCAUAUAGAGACUCCACACACUAAUUCCUAGGGAAGAGAGCUCCAAGGAUCACAAGCAUAUAGAGACUCCACACACUAAUUCCUAGGGAAGAGAGCUCCAAGGACCAGACAGAAUUAUCCUUAAAUCAGGAGAUGAUGAGAUAGAUGCCUAAAAAGCAUAACUCAAAGGGGUGUGGACUUCAUAGAUAUCCAAUCUAAAGAAAAUGAUAUGACCCAACAUGGUUCACUUCCUUUCUUAAAUAGCUACUUUGUCCCUGUUCAAUUUUUAUCUACAAAUAUAUUAAGAAAAGGAAAUCAAGCAUCACUAUAAAUGGUAAACCUCAAUCAUUAAGUAGUACUGUGUUCCCCAGGCUGAGAACUUGGCUAAACCAGAUGAAUGGGGCUUGAGAGGCCCUUGAAAACAUUCCAUGGAAGACAAUGGUAAGGGAAAACGCCUAGGCCUGAUUUUCUGCCCUCCCUCUUAUCACCAGCCACCCUGCCCCCCUCAGGCCUGGAUAAUGGGUGGAAGACACCACCAAGUGUUUAUGAUCAAAGAAACUAUAAAACAUGGUUCUUAGGCUCUGAGAUACUUCCUGCUUCCCUCACAAACAUGCUUAUGUUUGGUGUGCAUGCACAUUUGCCUAUCAGCACAUAUAAAGAGACAGUGGAAAAGUCAGAAGUGUUUUCAGGUUAUUUUCUUUAAAAAAAAAAAAAAAAAAAAAAAAAAAAAAAAAAAGCAAAAACCAUGGACCUGGUAGCACUCCAAUUUCCCAUGAUCCCACCCCCAACCCCUCUACACAAUAGAAACUGCACAUAUAAAAGAAAGCCUUCUCUAGUCAGGUCAGCCUCCCAGAAUGAUGGCCUCUGCUGAGUAGAAGCAAGACCCAGUCCCUGGAACACUGGAUAGACAGUAGGCAUGUGCUGCCUCUCAGAAUACCCAUUUACUUUCUGUCAACUUCAAAAGCCAAGCCCAUCCCUCCAGGGAAUGGUUUCAGUUCCCGGCUGGGAAGGUUUCCGGAUUCUUGGAGGCUAGUACAGUGAUUUCCUAGAAGUGAACACAGAAAUACUACCCCCUUCUCCCGACAACACACACACACAGACAUACACAUGCACACAUGCAUCUCUGGGAUCCCAGUGCUCCAGGGCCUGAGAGGCAUCAGUGUAACCCAGGUUCUGAGUGUGUCCCAUAAAUUGGAGAUUCAGUCUAGCUCACUCCUACUGCACCAGCCUCAACCUGAGAGCUCACUCCAACUGAGUCCCUUCACCAUCCAUUCUUGGGAUGCAUCUGAAAGAGAAAGCACUGGUUGGAACUGCUAUUUUUAAAUUAUUAAAAUAAUUUGCAUAGCUAAAUUGUAGAUCUAAGGCUUCCAUGAGUAGAAGAGUUAAGUGUCUGGCAGGGUGCUUAUGAAAACACAAAGCUUCUUAAGUUCCACUUUUGGUGUUAUUGGACAGCAGACAAACACACAUAUACACAUGCACCCCAUCCAUCAUCUCCUUGUCUCUUCUCUGAGGACAAUACCCCAGAGUCUGCUAAGGCCCUCCAAAGAUGGAAAUGGGCUGGUCAGAAGAGCUGUAGGAGCUACUACUGGGAUGACCUGACUAAGCUGCCUUCUGGGCUGGGAAGAGGCAGGUACACCACCUGCCCAGUAAGGAGGGAGCCAUGGGUAAGUGGUAAAGCUCUAAAGCCAAAGUUUGUUCAUCAUAAAGAACUGUCUGGCAAAGUGUUGGGGUGGGGGAUACAGAGGGGGCGGGGACACCAGUAGGAAGACAGCCAGUGUUUAUGCUUAAGGACUAGACGACCCUCCCCUGGCAAUGGCAAUAAGGGGAGACCCAGAAUGACUGGUGUGUUCUUUUAAGAUAAAACCCAGACUUAGGGCUCCUACAGAGAAAGGGCUCCUCCAUGUUCCUUCAAAGAUGGAGGCAGCAGACACCAGGCCUACAUGGACCACCUGAAGAUAUUUUCGAACAUGAAAUCAACAGUCCCUCAACCCAGCAACCGCCUAUCCACAGCUUCACUAUUCAGCAUAGAGAGCCAACAUCUAACAUCAUCCCAGGAGGACACAGCUCCAAAUCUGGGGUCUCUUACUUCCCAAUUGCAAACUCCAUGAUCACAACUUUCGAUUUCUGUGGAAUGAGUCCCACCCUCCACUAACUAUCCAGUCUCAGGAUUCCCUGAUCUUCCUGAAAAGCCAUCUCUCAAAAAUAUAGUUGUUUAAUCCAAACCUUGGUCAAACCUAACUCUUCCCCUGGUCAAUUUACCAUCCAUCCAGGAUUGUUUUUCACCAGUGGCUAUAGGGUCUGGGAUAUCUUAAAACUUCCCUUUCUAUCACCUACCCUCCUUACCCCUAACCUCCCCCCACCCCCAAAUAAACAAGACACAUGAAAAGUCCAAGUAAUAAAUAAUUGCCCAUAAGAAAUAAAUUAACAUGGAGCUCUCUAAAGGGGAAGGAAAGGAACAGAAAAGACUACCAGGAUAGGCAGCUGGGGGCUCAGUUCUACCCUGGUGAAAAAUGUAUUUUCCAGCCACAACUCUGCGACCUUUCAUUCACGUACUGCAGUGCUUCUCCCUCCCAGCCUCUGCACACAGACAACCUUCCAAGCUGGAAAGGGAGAGCUGCUCAGAGAUAGCCACCGGGGUUAAGAGACAUAGAUUGGUAAUGCCCAUUUUCUCUCAUGAAUUUCCCCAAAUUCUCACACAAAUGUGGCUCUGAAUACCAGGGACUUGAGUUAGCUGGGCCUUCUCUUCACCCAUCCCGAAGGAAACUUGUUAUUUCCAUGGCUCUUCUGGGCUCACCCUGAUGUUCACACUAGGUGCCAUGAACCACCAAACUGACUUCCAUUUAAAGAAAGAUAAAUUCAUUUUUCAGUUUCCCUCUUAGUUCUUCCCUCCCUCCCCUCCCACCUUCACCCCUGCUCUGUUCCAUACAUACACAUACAAAAUAAACAUACACACACACACUCACAAACACACAUACCUGGUCAGCUUCCUUCCCACCCCCUAAAAAGACCCCACUUCACAUGGGAUCACAGUCUGCUCCCCCUACCCACCCUCCUUCUCUCACUCAUUCUCCCUUCCUUCACUCCCCUCCCCAGGCCAAGCUAAGUCACCUAGUAAGGCAGCUCUCUUGGGAAAGAAUGUUCCCAAAGACAGAAAUGGGAUGUGCGCUUCUACACUCAGAUGGGCGAGCAAGCAAGCAGACAGCAUAAGCAAGGCAGGAAGGAAAAGAGGCUGCACUGCCCCUCCAUCCCUGUUUUGGGUCCCUGAUUUCCCGCUAUUGCUGCUGUGUUGGACUUUUUUUUUUUUUUUUUUUUUUUUGCCUCUUUUGUUAAACAGCAACAGAGCUCUGCCACUUUGGCCAACCACCCUCCUUUGUCCUCUUCCUUUUCCCUCCUGCCAAGUGUCC
This 5499-nucleotide long non-coding RNA is filed under the name Homo sapiens (human). RNAcentral's name for it is "non-protein coding lnc-IQCF6-2:5". The record is from RNAcentral. Lineage: Eukaryota; Metazoa; Chordata; Mammalia; Primates; Hominidae.